This 400-nucleotide ribosomal RNA is filed under the name uncultured bacterium. RNAcentral describes it as "bacterial SSU rRNA". It matches the Rfam family "Bacterial small subunit ribosomal RNA", at positions 355 to 746 of the family's 1533-position model. The record is from RNAcentral.
UAGGGAAUAUUGCGCAAUGGAGGAAACUCUGACGCAGCGACGCCGCGUGGGUGAUGAAGGUCUUCGGAUCGUAAAGCCCUGUCGGAAGAGACGAAAAAUACGAUGGCUAACAUCCAUAGUACUUGACGGUAUCUUUAGAGGAAGCACCGGCUAACUUCGUGCCAGCAGCCGCGGUAAUACGAAGGGUGCAAGCGUUGUUCGGAAUCAUUGGGCGUAAAGCGCGUGUAGGCUGUUUAUUAAGUCGGGUGUGAAAUCCCUGGGCUCAACCGAGGAAGUGCAUUCGAAACUGAUAAGCUAGAAGACAGUAGAGGAAGGUGGAAUUCCAAGUGUAGAGGUGAAAUUCGUAGAUAUUUGGAGGAAUACCUGAGGCGAAGGCGGCCUUCUGGGCUGUUCUUGACGC